Molecule: ribosomal RNA, 363 nt
Filed under: uncultured bacterium
Lineage: Bacteria
Description: bacterial SSU rRNA
Rfam family: Bacterial small subunit ribosomal RNA
Source: RNAcentral
AACGAACGCUGGCGGCAUGCCUAACACAUGCAGGUCGAACGAGACCUUCGGGUCUAGUGGCGCACGGGUGCGUAACGCGUGGGAACCUGCCUUUAGGUUCGGAAUAACUCAGAGAAAUUUGAGCUAAUACCGGAUGAUGUCUUCGGACCAAAGAUUUAUCGCCUUUAGAUGGGCCCGCGUAAGAUUAGCUAGUUGGUGGGGUAAAGCCUACCAAGGCGACGAUCUUUAGCUGGUCUGAGAGGAUGAUCAGCCACACUGGGACUGAGACACGGCCCAGACUCCUACGGGAGGCAGCAGUGGGGAAUAUUGGACAAUGGGCGAAAGGCCUGAUCCAGCAAUGCCGCGUGAGUGAUGAAGGCCUUA